AUGAGUUUGAAUGGAGCUGUUCUGGUCUCUCGGGGCAAGUGAACGCUUCUCUCAAUCCAUCUCACACCUGUGCACCUUUGGAGGAUUCUUUGGGUCAAAGUUGGAUAACGACGGCGAUCCUUAGUUUCUUCUUCUAUACCUAAUCACAGUCUUAGAAAGUCUUUUUGCUUGAUGCAAACUAAAUA
This 185-nucleotide unclassified non-coding RNA is filed under the name uncultured Xenasmataceae. RNAcentral describes it as "sequence contains ITS1". Lineage: Eukaryota; Fungi; Basidiomycota; Agaricomycetes; Russulales; Xenasmataceae. The record is from RNAcentral.